Molecule: ribosomal RNA, 254 nt
Filed under: uncultured bacterium
Lineage: Bacteria
Description: partial 16S ribosomal RNA
Rfam family: Bacterial small subunit ribosomal RNA
Source: RNAcentral
UACGUGGGUCACAAGCGCUAUCCGGUUUUACUGGGCGUAAAGAGAUGCGUAGGCGUUUCUUUAAGUUACUUGUUAAAUCUUAGUGCUUAACACUAAGACAGCAAGUAAUACUAAAGAAAUAGAGUCAGGUAGAGAAAAGAGGAAUUCCUGGUGUAGCAGUUAAAUGCGUUGAUAUCAGGAGGAACACCGAUGGUGAAGACAUCUUUUUGGACCUGUACUGACGCUCAGGCUCGAAAGCGUGGGGAGCAAACAGG